AAUCACCACUGGAAUUAACAGAUUCAGAGGGACUGCAAGCAGGGUAUCUCAGCUCUUCUGCAAGCUCACAGGUGAAUUCCUCUGUCGUAGCCUGCAGAGUUUUUGGAGGAACAGGCUGUGGUAGUUUUCUGAUUAAGAACAGCAGCAAGCAAUCACCUCCAAGAACUAAGGAAGAUAAAGAGGAACCAAAGGAUGGAGGGGAGGUCAAUCACUCACUUUGUGUCUGCACAUUUAUUGUUAUGCCAUAUCUACCUUUUAUUUUGAGCAUUUGUUUCCUAUUAUAAUCCAAGGGAAAAUAAAUCAUAGGAGGCAAGGCAUCUUUCUUGUAAAACUUCACAAUCAGACCAGUCCUUUGUGGUCUGACCUA
Molecule: long non-coding RNA, 367 nt
Filed under: Capra hircus (goat)
Lineage: Eukaryota; Metazoa; Chordata; Mammalia; Artiodactyla; Bovidae
Description: lncRNA (ENSCHIG00000005513.1)
Source: RNAcentral